This is a non-coding RNA of Oryza barthii, 195 nucleotides long. Lineage: Eukaryota; Viridiplantae; Streptophyta; Magnoliopsida; Poales; Poaceae. The record is from Rfam.
UUUAAGAGCGGUCGUGAGUUUCGUGUUCAAGGUUUAACCAUCUAUUUUAUUUGAAUCUUUUAUGAUUAGUAUUUUUAUUGAUGUUAGGUGAUAAAACAUGAAUAAUACUUUAUACGUGACUUAUUUUUUUAUACUCUUUCUCAAAUAAGACGGACACUUAAAUAUGAGACUCGGAAACUCAUAACUGCACUUACA